This 1242-nucleotide long non-coding RNA is filed under the name Strigops habroptila (Kakapo). Its description in RNAcentral is "lncRNA (ENSSHBG00005006318.1)". Lineage: Eukaryota; Metazoa; Chordata; Aves; Psittaciformes; Psittacidae. The record is from RNAcentral.
GGAUUCCCAAUGGAGCUCCGGAUUGCACUACCUUUGAGCAGGGAAGGAAAAGCACCUCAGGGUUGAACAGGAGGUAGAAAGAGGUUGAUUUGAGGUUGAUGUUUCGAGUCUUAAGGUUUCAGCUCAGCAUCAGUUAUUGGUUCUUUCAGCGUUGUGUCUCUCUGAGUUACCCACCACCUUCUUGCCCUCUUCUUUCUGCCCCAAACUACUAAGUACCAGACCUUUGCACUGUUGGGAUGUGCCCCUCUCCGGCCUGAGGGUGAAGAGAAACAGGAACCCUCCAAACUGAUGCACUAACCUGGAAUGGGGCUGGAAACGCGGCGCUUGAUUCCUGGUGAGCAGCCGGGACCGUCUGUGGCGGCUUCUGAUCUCUCCAGGUCCCUCCUUUGCCAGCCUUUUCCUUGGAAUUCACUGAUCCACCAGCAUUCCUAAGAACUAAGCUGCAGGUAGGACACUUGCAUAGAUGGGGAUUCACAAGAGGGGGCGAGGAGCCGCUCGCGCACCCCACGUUUACGACGGUCGUGGCACAGACCUGGGUUGAAAACACGCUUUUUUGGGUUGGUUCAUUUUGCUUCUUUUUCCUCAUGGAAAGCGGAUCCCAAACCACCAUUUCGGGAGGUGAGACCCAGCUCCAGGCGGGGAAUGGGAAGCUGAUGGGAAUGGGGGUCUCUCCGGAGGCAAUGGUGCUUUGCUUCCUGGUUUGUCCCCCCCAUAGCGAUGGGUUUGGGCAUCACCCACCUUUGUUUUGGGGCUGGACACGAGGAAAGCUGCCACAUCCAAGCCCUGUGCUUCCCGGGAAUCCUCACCUCCUCCCUCCUGAAAGCCACAAGGUUUGUUUCAACCUCUUGCUUUAUCCAGCAUAGUGGCCGAUGAGCCAUUGGAACACCCCCACCAGAACCAUCUCAGUGUUGGGUUGGGGGUUUGUUGGGUUUUUUGGGGUCACAUUUGGUGCUUUUCCACCCUUUUUCUUUCCUUCAUUUCAUCUUUUUGCUUCCUAAGAAGCCGAACCCGCUCCGGCUUCACCAGCCGGCAGCUGGGAGAACGGGAAUUCUGUUUCCUGCUGUAAAUACCACGUUGUCAUCCCCACUUCUGUGUCAGGACCAUCUAAUGGUGCUUUUUACUACAGUUGGCACACGCCUUUUUAGAGAGUACGUGUUUGAGCAGACGUUUGCUGUGUACCAGGGUAAUUCUGUCUCGUUGGACUGUUAUAACUGUGUUGUUAGAGAAUAAAUUAUUUCAGUA